This 235-nucleotide long non-coding RNA is filed under the name Mytilus galloprovincialis (Mediterranean mussel). The record is from RNAcentral. Lineage: Eukaryota; Metazoa; Mollusca; Bivalvia; Mytilida; Mytilidae.
CGUACAUUGAUCUUUGGAAUUAAAAUCGUUCUAACAUAAAUUUCAAUAUUUGAAAUCACCGUAAGUCAACAAUCAGAUAUUUCGUUUUUAUCUUACCAUCAUAUUGGUUAUCCUUACGGGGAUUGAUGCAGUCAAAUUUUUUAUAUCUAUCCCUAUGGAUCUAAUAAGUCAUGCACCUGGCAGUUACUAAGUAGUCCUUACGGUAACCCACCACUUACAUUUGAGUUUAUAACGC